CGAACGCUGGCGGCGCGUUUAAGCAUGCAAGUCGAGCGGCAAGGGCCUUCGGGCCCCUAGAGCGGCGGACGGGUGAGUAACACGUGGACAAUCUGCCCCCCGGCCCGGGAUAGCCCAGGGAAACCUGGAUUAAUACCGGAUGAGACGGGACCCGCGAUGGCGGGAUCCGGGAAAGGCGCUGCGGCGCCGCCGGGGGAUGAGUCUGCGUCCCAUUAGCUAGACGGCGGGGUAACGGCCCACCGUGGCGACGAUGGGUAGCCGGCCUGAGAGGGUGGACGGCCACAUUGGAACUGAGACACGGUCCAGACUCCUACGGGAGGCAGCAGCUAAGAAUCUUCCGCAAUGGGCGAAAGCCUGACGGAGCCGACGCCGCGUGAACGAAGAAGGCCGUGAGGUUGUAAAGUUCUUUUCGGGAGGGGGAACAACCGUGGCAGGGAAUGGCCGCGGGAUGACGUGAAUCCCGGAAUAAGCCCCGGCUAACUACGUGCCAGCCGCGGC
RNAcentral lists this ribosomal RNA (498 nucleotides) under uncultured bacterium. RNAcentral's name for it is "bacterial SSU rRNA". It matches the Rfam family "Bacterial small subunit ribosomal RNA", at positions 30 to 518 of the family's 1533-position model. The record is from RNAcentral.